This 3920-nucleotide long non-coding RNA is filed under the name Salmo salar (Atlantic salmon). RNAcentral's name for it is "lncRNA (ENSSSAG00000106937.1, ENSSSAG00000119127.1)". The record is from RNAcentral. Lineage: Eukaryota; Metazoa; Chordata; Actinopteri; Salmoniformes; Salmonidae.
UUAGUAGUUAGUUCUAGUAGUACCAGUCAGUUCUGGAGUGUUAGCCCUACCAGGAGCCCUCCUAUCAGCCUCGGUUGGCAUUGUGUUGGCAACAAGCCCUAAUUUAGGGAAUUAAAAAGCACUAGACAGGCCCUUUGUGCCACUGCGCGCCCGCUUUAAUCUUCCCAUGCCUCAGCGGGCACCCACAGCACGCGCACACACACACACACACACAAACACACACACACAGCGUCAGAAGUGGGCACGGUGCCCAUAUGACCCUGGGCAAUAUGGAAAUGUCCACCAAAACCACUAACCAAGCGCCCAGGCUGCCUCUGGUAGAGUCAGUACACAGUGGGAACACACUCUAAUACCAUCCCCCCACUGCACUGAAGCACAGAGAUACACACCACACCACACACACAACACGCAGAUGCUUGCACAUGCAAUUAAAUGUAUGCAUAGUUGUAUUCAUAGACAGAGCGAGAGAGACAGACACACACACACACACACAUUAUUUCACUGUCUUUCUCUAUCAAACACACACACACUUGUCAGAAGUUUGUGUUUCUCUUUGAAAUGUGGGUAAGUGUAACUGCAGUGUCGACGACAAGGCCAAUUUCUCAUGAGGUCAUCCAUCACCUCUAAUGAAACUGGCAGAGCCUAACUGUCUCGCUGUGUGUGUGUGUGUGUGUGUGUGUGUGUGUGUGUGUGUGUGUGUGUGUGUGUGUGUGUGUGUGUGUGUGUGUGUGUGUGUGUGUGUGUGUGUGUGUGUGUGUGUGUGUGUGUGUGUGUGUGUGUCUCUCUCUCUCUCCCUGGGCAGAUCCACUGGCGCCUCGCUAACCCAGGGAGGAGAAAUGGACUGAUUUAAUUACAGAUGAAACACACACACACAGGCUGGCUAUCACACAGACAGACAGAUUUCUUUUCACACAGACUCACACUCAAAGAGCACAGAUUUUAAACAAAGUUCAUAAACACACUCCUUUUUUCAAGCCAGUCUUGUUAGCAUGUUAGGAAACUACAAUGGGGAGCUGAGUGGGUGCUGCCUGGUGUGAUGUUGACGUGUUAAAGCUAAGCUACAAAGCCAAAUAUAACUUAAAGAGGCAAACAGCAGUUGCUACAUCUAUUUCUGGACUUAAUUAUACGUACCGAUAGAUUUUUGAAGAAUACAACGUAUAAAUGCGCUUCAUGAGCUUAGUUCAACUGUCGUACCACAUCAGAACCAAAAAUAUAAGCGUGUUUUACUUCAAUGUUUGCAAACAAUGUAAAUUGUAAACAAACACUAUAUAGCCUCAAAACAUGGUUAAAACUAUAAUGUUGAUAUCAUGGAGGGUCAGUCCUUGCAUCCAUAGCUUUAUCUGUUCAUUUGAUAGUGGUUGCAUUUCUCCAGUACCAUCCCUCAGCUUUUUACAGAAUCAGGAGCAUGCUUUGUUAUUGUUUCUACUGCUGAUUGCUGCUUUAAGUAGCUUCAUAACACUACAGCAUGAGAGUUACAGUUGAGGAUAAAUUGAUCAGCAUUUGUUAAAUCUGUAGUUAACAGUCCUCUUUGAUGGUGAUGGAGGUGAAUAUCUCUUUCAUUCUUGUUACGAAACCAAUAACUAGCCUGCUAAUAUUGUUGCACUCACUAAGUCCAGGGGUCUCAGGCCUAGUUAACUGGUCUGUAACCGGAUUGAAGCUUGUGCAUCUAUGUGAGAAAUCAGCGUAUGUUCCUAGGUGUUGAAGGUUCAAUAUGGACAGAGUGUGUCCUGGAUAGUGUGUUUGUCUAUGUCCUAGCACUAACCUUCCCCCCAUAUCAUAACAUUCUAAAGAAGGGCAAACCAGCUGAUGAUUGGCUCUUUCAUUCAGGCCAAUUUUUAUCUAGAAUUUAGAUGUACGGCUGUUGACCAAAACCUUGGCCACUAGGCUAGAAGCGGUACUCCCUUCACUCAUCAAUAUCGACCAGACGGGGCUUGUCAAGGGCAGAUACUCGUACCAUAAUAUAAGGAAACUUCUAAACAUUAUUCAACAUGCAAAUCUAUAUAGCCCAGAGGCCUUAGUGAUCUCACUUGAUGCAGAGAAGGCCUUUAACAGGGUCGAGUGGACCUAUCUGAUUAUGAUACUAGCAGAUAAGUUCAUCAAAUGGAUAGGGGUAUUUGACACCUGUCCUCCUGCUGCUGUUCUCACCAAAGGGAUCAGAUUUCACACUAGGACGUGGAACCAGGUAGGGUUGUCCAAUGACCGCUCUGUUAUUAGCUGUGGCAAUAAGGCUGGCGGAUGCUAUAGGUGGGAUCCGAUUGGGGACCAAAGGCAAUAACAUUUCUCCAUAUGCGGAUGAUGUUUCGCUGUAUUUGGGCUCGUGUAGAAAUUCUAUUCCAAAACUUGUGGACCUUAUUACCUCUUUAGGAGCUUCCUCUAGGUAUAAAGUGAAUUUCUCCAAGUCUGAGGCUAUGGCACGUGGUGACUCCCAGGCUGUUAAUUCAACAAUCUCCCAGCCUUUCCAAUGGCCUCCCUCUGCUUUUACUUACUUGACUAUUAAAAUCUGUCCUGUGCUAAAAGACAUGUAUAGAUUAACCCACUCCUUCUCUCUAUUCAAAAUGAUCUUGAUAGGUGGUGUUGCCUGCCUCUGUCAAGUUUAGGCCGCAUUCACCUUAUCAAAAUGAAUAUUCUCCCUCGCCUGCUAUACCGUUUUCAAAUGGUCCCACUUUUACUUCCCAGAAAAACCUUUACCCAGUUAGACCGUGCUAUAAUAUGUUUCAUCUGGCCAAGGAAAACACCUAGGCUGAGGUAUAGCUAUCUCACUCUACCUACCAGGUUAGCUGGUCUAGCAGUCCCUUCUCAUAAAUGUUAUCAACUGGCAUCUCAACUGAGCUUUAUUGAGAGUAUUGAAAACCCAAGAGCCUCUUGGCUUAAUUGUGAAUCAGCUACUAUUGGGACAAUCCCACUCCGUAAACUUUUAUACAUAUCCCAGACAAAGAUAGGCAAAUAGACUAAAGACAUUUCAUUAUAUGCUGAAGAACAUCUCUCAAUCUGGGGACAGGUCCGGAAGUUAGAAGGGCACAAUGUUUGUUUCUCAUUACUGACCCCUUUGAAUGAAACCUAAUGUGUCUCGUCUUUACAGUAAGUCUCAGGGUGCAGGGGGUUCCCUUAUUCAUUGUUUCUGGGAUCGUUGUUACAUAGAAACAUUGUGUUCGGAGGUUCUAUAGGAGAUAGAUAACGUUUUUGAGCGCUCUCUCCAGCUGGGUACAACGUUUUGUAGACUGGAAACUAGAGAGGAACUGCCUCUUAGAUUUCCUUAGUGCACAUUUUACACAUUUUAUUACAAAAAUGUAUUCUUCUGCUGUGGAUAUCUGAUAAGGCUUCCUCAGCAGCAUUGGAAAAUAAGCCUUAUCAAUUUCUUAAGAUGUGGGACCCCUUCUUGAACCAACACCGUCAAAACAAAGCCCAAGUGUUAAUUUCAGGACUGUCAGGCUUGGCCUGGCGCGAUUCAGCUACUUGAGGACAAAUCUACUUUAUGUAGGCGGUUUGUACUCAUACCUGACCUCUGUGAGGUAGCCUAGCUACCCUCCCUGCUGCUCUAGGCAGGUUCACAGUGUUAGCACACUAACUAGCCCAGCUGCCCUCCCUGCUGCUCUAGGCAGGUUCACAGUGUUAGCACACUAACUAGCCUAGCUGCCCCUCCCUGCUGCUCUAGGCAGGUUCACAGUGUUAGCACACUAACUAGCCUAGCUGCCCCUCCCUGCUGCUCUAGGCAGGUGCACAGUGUUAGCACACUAACUAGCCUAGCUGCCCCUCCCUGCUUCUCUAAGCAGGUUCACAGUGUUAGCACACUAACUAGCCUAGCUGCCCCUCCCUGCUGCUCUAGGCAGGUUCACAGUGUUAGCACACUAACUAGCCUAGCUGCCCCUCCCUGCUGCUCUAGGCAGGUUCACAGUGUUAGCACGCCUACUAGCCUAGCUGCC